AUACGGGGGGUGCAAGCGUUAACCGGAAUUACUGGGCGUAAAGCGCGCGUACGCGGUUUGCUCAGUCGGAUGUGAAAGCCCAGGGCUCAACCUUGGAACUGCAUACGAUACUGGCAAACUAGAGUGUGAGAGAGGAUAGUGGAAUUUCCGGUGUAGCGGUGAAAUGCGUAGAUAUCGGAAGGAACAUCAGUGGCGAAGGCGACUGUCUGGCUCAACACUGACGCUGAGGUGCGAAAGCGUGGGUAGCAAACAGGAUUAGAAACCCUAGUAGUCC
Molecule: ribosomal RNA, 274 nt
Filed under: uncultured bacterium
Lineage: Bacteria
Description: partial 16S ribosomal RNA
Rfam family: Bacterial small subunit ribosomal RNA
Source: RNAcentral